Molecule: ribosomal RNA, 503 nt
Filed under: uncultured bacterium
Lineage: Bacteria
Description: partial 16S ribosomal RNA
Rfam family: Bacterial small subunit ribosomal RNA
Source: RNAcentral
AUUGAACGCUGGCGGCAGGCUUAACACAUGCAAGUCGAGCGGGGUGAUGGUGCUUGCACUAUCACUUAGCGGCGGACGGGUGAGUAAUGCUUAGGAAUCUGCCUAUUAGUGGGGGACAACAUCUCGAAAGGGAUGCUAAUACCGCAUACGAGCUACGGGAGAAAGCAGGGGAUCACUUGUGACCUUGCGCUAAUAGAUGAGCCUAGGUCGGAUGAGCUAGUUGGUGGGGUAAAGGCCUACCAAGGCGACGAUCUGUAGCGGGUCUGAGAGGAUGAUCCGCCAGACUGGGACUGAGACACGGCCCAGACUCCUACGGGAGGCAGCAGUGGGGAAUAUUGGACAAUGGGGGGAACCCUGAUCCAGCCAUGCCGCGUGUGUGAAGAAGGCCUUAUGGUUGUAAAGCACUUUAAGCGAGGAGGAGGCUCCUUUGGUUAAUACCCAGAAUGAGUGGACGUUACUCGCAGAAUAAGCACCGGCUAACUCUGUGCCAGCAGCCGCGGUAA